RNAcentral lists this ribosomal RNA (327 nucleotides) under uncultured Candidatus Sumerlaeota bacterium. RNAcentral's name for it is "bacterial SSU rRNA". It matches the Rfam family "Bacterial small subunit ribosomal RNA", at positions 29 to 351 of the family's 1533-position model. Lineage: Bacteria; Candidatus Sumerlaeota. The record is from RNAcentral.
AACGAACGCUGGCGGCGUGGAUUAGGCAUGCAAGUCGUGCGCGAAAGUGGUAGCAAUACUGCGAGUAGAGCGGCGAACUGGUGAGUACAAGGUGACUAACGUGCCCCUGAGUGGGGGAUAACCCAUCGAAAGGUGGGCUAAUACCGCAUUAUCUCCGGAGUGCCUCGGCAUUCUGGAGCAAAGCAGCAAUGCGCUCGGGGAUCGGGUCACCUCCCAUUAGCUAGUUGGUGGAGUAAAAGCCCACCAAGGCUUCGAUGGGUAGCUGGUCUGAGAGGAUGGUCAGCCACACUGGGACUGAGAUACGGCCCAGACUCCUACGGGAGGCAG